Molecule: ribosomal RNA, 535 nt
Filed under: uncultured Acidobacteriota bacterium
Lineage: Bacteria; Pseudomonadati; Acidobacteriota
Description: bacterial SSU rRNA
Rfam family: Bacterial small subunit ribosomal RNA
Source: RNAcentral
AGAGUUUGAUCAUGGCUCAGAAUCAACGCUGGCGGCGUGCCUAACACAUGCAAGUCGAACGCGAAAGUCCCGCAAGGGAUGAGUAGAGUGGCAAACGGGUGAGUAACACGUGGGUGACCUGCCUUCGAGCGGGGGAUAACGUCCCGAAAGGGACGCUAAUACCGCAUAACAUCCUGCCUUUGAAGAGGCGGUGAUCAAAGCUGGGGAUCGCAAGACCUAGCACUUGAAGAGGGGCCCGCGUCCGAUUAGCUAGUUGGUGGGGUAAUGGCUCACCAAGGCAACGAUCGGUAGCCGGCCUGAGAGGGCGGACGGCCACACUGGGACUGAGACACGGCCCAGACUCCUACGGGAGGCAGCAGUGGGGAAUUGUUCGCAAUGGGCGCAAGCCUGACGACGCAACGCCGCGUGGAGGAUGAAGAUCUUCGGGUCGUAAACUCCUUUCGAUCGAGACGAAUUCCUCUGGGACGAAUAAUCCCGGAGGUUGACGGUACCGAGAGAAGAAGCCCCGGCUAACUCCGUGCCAGCAGCCGCGGUA